RNAcentral lists this ribosomal RNA (258 nucleotides) under uncultured bacterium. Its description in RNAcentral is "partial 16S ribosomal RNA". It matches the Rfam family "Bacterial small subunit ribosomal RNA", at positions 96 to 354 of the family's 1533-position model. The record is from RNAcentral.
UGGCGGACGGGUGAGUAACGCGUGGGUAACCUGCCUUACACAGGGGGAUAACACUUAGAAAUAGGUGCUAAAACCGCAUAAGCGCACAGCUUCGCAUGAAGCGGUGUGAAAAACUCCGGUGGUAUGAGAUGGACCCGCGUCUGAUUAGCUAGUUGGUGGGGUAAAGGCCUACCAAGGCGACGAUCAGUAGCCGACCUGAGAGGGUGAUCGGCCACAUUGGGACUGAGACACGGCCCAAACUCCUACGGGAGGCAGCAG